AUGAACGUUGCGCUCAUGUUGCGAUUGGUCUGGUGGAUCAUGAGCGGCAAGGGUGGCCUGUGGCUUCAGCUCGUUCAGGCUAAAUACCUUAGAGGUGGGCCUCUCUUGGCAUGCUCCCGCUCGGGAGGGUCCCAGUUUUGGAGAUACAUACAAAGGAUCAAGAAGGAGAUUCAUGUAGGAGUCUCCUUCUCUGUAGGAAAUGGGACUGGGACCCAAUUUUGGCUGGACCUCUGGUUGGGUACCGAGCCUCUUAGGGUGAGCUUUCUUGGCCUAUUCUUAAUCUGCGCGAAACCGCUAGUACUAGUCUUUGCGGCUUCUCGAUCUGGACAGUGGGAUCUAUGGUUCCCCCGUACUUUUGGGCAAUCAGAGAAUGGUGAUUGGACUAGAUUGUAGACGACCCUCCCGCCGAUGCUUCCGUGCUAUCCGGACUCCGUAGCUUGGCGGCUCUCGCAGUCGGGUGAUUUUUCGGUGAACUUAACACACCAGGCAUUAUGCCAGUCACCCAUUAUCGUCUGCCUUCCCCCCUUGUGGAAAGCACCUUUACCUUUGAAGAUUGAGAUUUUUGUGUGGCAACUUCUACGAGACCGCCUCCCUUCGAAGACCGAAGUACUUAAGCGGUAA
Molecule: ribosomal RNA, 621 nt
Filed under: Triticum aestivum (bread wheat)
Lineage: Eukaryota; Viridiplantae; Streptophyta; Magnoliopsida; Poales; Poaceae
Description: partial small subunit ribosomal RNA
Source: RNAcentral